Molecule: ribosomal RNA, 926 nt
Filed under: Arion distinctus
Lineage: Eukaryota; Metazoa; Mollusca; Gastropoda; Stylommatophora; Arionidae
Description: partial 16S ribosomal RNA
Rfam family: Archaeal large subunit ribosomal RNA (bases 340-597)
Source: RNAcentral
UCAGUUUGAUUUAAUUCGAUUUUAAGCGAUCUAUUGCUUAUUAAGUAUAUAGUGAUGUAGCAUAAUUACUAUCUUAAAAACAAUAGGGGUGAAAGGCUUACAAGCUUAAAGAUAUCUAAUUAGAAACCAAAUAUAUUUAGUAUAGGAACAAAAAUUCUGAACCAUGUGAUGUUAAGGUCAUGUGGACUCAUUGAAUCUAUUUUACUCAUUUGUUAUAUAAUUAAUUUACUAUAAUAGAAUUGAAUUCGAUAAAUAAUUAUUAUACCAUUCAUGAACAGAUAGUUUCUAACUUUCUAAAUAUGAUUAAUGAUUAUGUUUUUAAUGUGUAAAUUAGUACAAUAAUUCUUAAUUGUAGAGAAGGAACUCGGCAAAAAUCUAAUUUCAACUGUUUAACAAAAACAUAGCCUCAUGAUAUUACAUUUGAGGUGAUGCCUGCCCAGUGAGGUAUAUCUUAUCCUUUAACGGCCGCAGUACUUUGACUGUGCUAAGGUAGCAAAAUCAAUUGGUCUUUAAUUGGGGUCGGGUAUGAACGGCGCUAUGGAAUGAAUCUGUCUCCCUUACAUACUUAUAACUUACUUAAUAGGUGCAAAUUCCUAUAUACCCACAUAAGACGAGAAGACCCUUAGAGUUUUUAUAAUUAAUACAUUUGAUUGUUAUUAUUAUUUUUGUUGGGGCGACAAUGGAAAUUAUAACAUCCACUAUAUAAACAAGACUUUCUCUAUUUAAAGUAGAAUAUAACUACCUGAGGGAUAACAGCAUAAUUUAUUAUUUUAAGAUUGUGACCUCGAUGUUGGACUAGGGACUAAUUAUGACAGCCUCAUAACUAGAUGAUUCUGUUCGAAUUUUUUAUACCUACAUGAUCUGAGUUCAGACCGGCGCAAGCCAGGUCAGUUUCUAUCUAUUAUUUUUUUAAGACUAGUACGAGG